Molecule: transfer RNA, 88 nt
Filed under: Clostridia bacterium
Lineage: Bacteria; Bacillati; Bacillota; Clostridia
Description: tRNA-Ser
Rfam family: tRNA
About the family: Transfer RNA (tRNA) molecules are approximately 80 nucleotides in length. Their secondary structure includes four short double-helical elements and three loops (D, anti-codon, and T loops).
Source: RNAcentral
GCAAAGGUGUCCGAGCGGUUGAAGGAGCACGCCUGGAAUGCGUGUUAGAUGAAAGUCUACGCAGGUUCGAAUCCUGUCCUUUGCGCCA